GCCGAAGUGGUGGAAUUGGUAGACGCAGCGGACUCAAAAUCCGCCGGGGGCAACUCCAUGAGGGUUCGAGUCCCUCCUUCGGCA
This 84-nucleotide transfer RNA is filed under the name Pseudomonadota bacterium. RNAcentral describes it as "tRNA-Leu". It matches the Rfam family "tRNA". From Rfam's summary of the family: Transfer RNA (tRNA) molecules are approximately 80 nucleotides in length. Their secondary structure includes four short double-helical elements and three loops (D, anti-codon, and T loops). RNAcentral also lists the same sequence under 2 other names. The record is from RNAcentral. Lineage: Bacteria; Pseudomonadati; Pseudomonadota.